AGGUAGAGCAAAUCCCCAAAAACCGGUACUCAGUUCGGAUUGCAGGCUGCAACUCGCCUGUAUGAAGUCGGAAUCGCUAGUAAUCGCGGAUCAGCAUGCCGCGGUGAAUACGUUCCCGGGCCUUGUACACACCGCCCGUCACACCAUGAGAGUCGGGAACACCCGAAGUCCGUAGCCUAACCGCAAGGAGGGCGCGGCCGAAGGUGGGUUCGAUAAUUGGGGUGAAGUCGUAACAAGGUAUC
RNAcentral lists this ribosomal RNA (242 nucleotides) under uncultured bacterium. RNAcentral's name for it is "partial 16S ribosomal RNA". It matches the Rfam family "Bacterial small subunit ribosomal RNA", at positions 1260 to 1500 of the family's 1533-position model. The record is from RNAcentral.